UACGAAGGUCCCAAGCGUUGUUCGGAAUCACUGGGCGUAAAGGGAGCGUAGGCGGCGUGGUAAGUCAGAUGUGAAAUCCCGGGGCUCAACCCCGGAACUGCAUCCGAUACUGCCAUGCUAGAGGAUUGGAGAGGUAGCUGGAAUUCUUGGUGUAGCAGUGAAAUGCGUAGAGAUCAAGAGGAACACCAAUGGCGAAAGCAGCUCUCUGGGACGGUACUGACGCUGAGACGCGAAAGCGUGGGGAGCGAACAGG
This 253-nucleotide ribosomal RNA is filed under the name uncultured bacterium. Its description in RNAcentral is "partial 16S ribosomal RNA". It matches the Rfam family "Bacterial small subunit ribosomal RNA", at positions 524 to 776 of the family's 1533-position model. The record is from RNAcentral.